GAUGCCCGUGUAAGGUCAGUGAACGAUGCCCGUGUAAGGUCAGUGAAUGAUGCCCAUAUAAGGUCAGUGAAUGAUGCCCAUAUAAGGUCAGUGAACGAUGCCCGUAUAAGGUCUGUGAACGAUGCCCAUAUAAGGUCUGUGAACGAUGCCCGUGUAAGGUCUGUGAACGAUGCCCGUGUAAGGUCAGUGAACGAUGCCCAUGUAAGGUCAGUGAACGAUGCCCGUGUAAGGUCAGUGAAUGAUGCCCAUAUAAGGUCUGUGAACGAUGCCCGUGUAAGGUCAGUGAACGAUGCCCAUAUAAGGUCUGUGAACGAUGCCCGUGUAAGGUCAGUGAAUGAUGCCCAUAUAAGGUCUGUGAACGAUGCCCGUGUAAGGUCAGUGAAUGAUGCCCAUAUAAGGUCUGUGAACGAUGCCCGUGUAAGGUCAGUGAAUGAUGCCCAUAUAAGGUCUGUGAACGAUGCCCGUGUAAGGUCAGUGAACGAUGCCCAUAUAAGGUCUGUGAACGAUGCCCGUGUAAGGUCAGUGAACGAUGCCCAUAUAAGGUCUGUGAACGAUGCCCGUGUAAGGUCAGUGAACGAUGCCCAUAUAAGGUCUGUGAACGAUGCCCGUGUAAGGUCAGUGAACGAUGCCCAUGUAAGGUCAGUGAACGAUGCCCGUGUAAGGUCAGUGAAUGAUGCCCAUUUCAGGUCAGUGAAUGAUGCCCAUGUAAGGUCAGUGAAUGAUGCCCAUAUAAGGUCAGUGAACGCUGUCCAUGUAAGGCCUGUGAACGAUGUCCAUAGAAGGUCAGUGAACGGUAAGGUCAGUGAACGAUGCCCAUAUAAGCUCUGUGAACGAUGCCCAUAUAAGCUCUGUGAACGAUGCCCAUCUAAGGUCUGAAUGAGGACACCUGAGC
Long non-coding RNA from Acanthochromis polyacanthus (spiny chromis), 892 nucleotides. RefSeq lists it as uncharacterized. The record is from RefSeq and is a predicted model, not a curated record. The transcript is spliced from 4 exons. NCBI's taxonomy places the organism in Eukaryota, Metazoa, Chordata, Actinopteri, Pomacentridae.